Long non-coding RNA from Heterocephalus glaber (naked mole-rat), 3116 nucleotides. The record is from Ensembl. NCBI's taxonomy places the organism in Eukaryota, Metazoa, Chordata, Mammalia, Rodentia, Bathyergidae.
UCUUCCUGUCUGUCCAAGGCAGCAGGACGGGGCCCGGGAGCUUUUGUGACACUUUCAGGGAUGUCACCCCACACCUGUCUCCCACGGACUGCCCCAGGGGCAGCAGCAGGCACUGCAGAUGGGCACCCGAAGGCCAGCGGUGGCUGAGGGACACAGACACAGGCCCGGGACCUCCGCAGGCGUGAGCCCAGACUUGGCAAGAGAAAAAUACGCUCUCUCUUUGCUUAAUUCCAGUCCUACCAGGCCAUGCUCAGCGCUCACAGUAGAAGGCUGUGUAAAUUGUCACUCAGCCCACUGCGAUCAGGAACAUUUUCCACAAUGAGCCAUUGGGCAGGCACAAUACAACGCAAUGUUUUCCUCUGACUGCAGCAUCUGUCAGUAAAUAACUGGCAUCAUAAUAAUCAGCAUUUUAUUCUGCGGGUCCCAGGGUCGACAGUGACCGUGGCACGCGCCGAGGCCCCCCGCGGCUCCUCAUGACGACCUCCCUCUCUCCACGUGGGGCAGGGCACAGCGGCUACAUUCCUCACGGGAGCUGAGGCACCAUCGCAGACAGCUAUGGACCGGGCUGGAGUGUCCAGGCAGAGGACUGUUCUCCUCCAUACAUAAAGAACUCAGACAAAAAGGAGACCUCCCCCAAAAUAAAAGAACCAAUCAAAAACAAACAGCUGAAAUGAAGACACCUCUCAGAAGAAGAAAAGCAAAGAGCCAAUGAAUACUUGAAAAUAACAGUCAGGACCUCUAGUCAUCACAGAGACGCAAAUUAAAGUGACCCUGAGAUUUUCUCUCACCCCAGGAGGAAUGGCCAUCAUCCAGGAACCAAAUGAUAGCCAAUGCUGGCGAGGCCGAGGGGAAAAGGGAACGCUUGUCACGUUUUUUUUGUACCAGGGAUCGAACUUAGGUCCUUGAGCUUGCAGGGCAGGCGGCAGAACCACUGAGCUAAAUCCCGGCCCAUGCUUCUCACUUUUAAGCAGAUGUUUGCGAUAAUAAUGAUUGCACUUGCUGCAGGAGUUGGUGCGCGGACACGAAUCAUUUGCUUAGUUUCCAACCCCUCCCACCUGCCUUGCUCCUUCCAACUCUUGGUCCCUUUCUGUUUGCAAAAACUCUCCAUAUUUCUCUUCAGUUCUUUUUUUCCUGUCCCCUUUCCCCCUCCUCUGUUUCCCUCUCAUCAUCUCUUGUUCCUCUUUCCAUUUAAAAAAGCUCUCUCUAUUCCCUAGUAUCUAUUUUUUAUUUUGCUUUCUAUUUAUAUUUUGGGUUUCUUAUCUGAGAGAAUCCAUGCAACAUUUAAGCUCGCGGGUCCGAUUUGUUUCACUUAACAUUAUGGUCUCAAAGUGCAUCCAUUGUCUUACUAACACCUCAAGUUUACCCUUUGUUAAGGCAGAGUAGUGCUCCACGGUGCGUAAAUAUCACACUUUCUUUAUCCACCCCCCUGACCCCCGGACAUCUAAAACUGACAUUAAGCCGGGAGAUGAAUACAUUCGGUGAAGCCCCAGGUCCUCAGAGCCUGGCUUCUGGAUUCCGCACAUGAAGUGACUUCUGUCUUCACCCACCUUCCCUUGGAGCGCCUCACAGUGGCUUGCAGUCAGCCCAUCAUUCUGUAAAUACUCCACUAUGCAUCUCUAAAGUACUUUAGAUUUUGUCAUAGUAACAUUAACUGCUAAAAUGGAGCACAGACAUUCAAAUCUCCGGUGUUCCAACUUCCUUUCUUCCGACGCAUCCUACACCCUCCCUGUCCUAGUUGCCUUCUUCCCGGCCUGGCCCGACCGCAGAGCCUGCCAGGAAACUUCCGGAUUUGCCAGUCACAAGGAGCGUGACAGCUCGGUGUAGAGGAGAUGCGAUGCUAUGCAUGCUGGGGCAAACUGAGUGUUUGUUACCUGCUUGCCGUUACUUUUGGUAAGAUUCUCCUGUGUGACUCUUGUGCAUGUUCUACUUAGGUUUGAUGCCUCUACUUUUAGGAACUAUAGGUGGAGGAUGUAGCCUCUUCUCUGGUGUACGUUGCCUCUUUUUCUCCAUUUGCAUUUUGUUUAUUUUGUCUUAAAAAUUUUUAAGUAGUCAGCUUUGUCAGUCUUCUUGCCUGAGUGCUUUUGAAUGUGAGUCAUUUGAAGAUAUUUUCAUUCUUCCGAAGUUAUAAAGAAAUUCACUUUUUUUUUUUUGGUGAUGCUGGGGGUUGAACCCAGGGCUUUUGAAUUGAGCUACAUCUCCAGCCCUUUACAUUUUUUUUUUUUAAAUUGUGAGACAGGGUCUAGCUAUGCCACUAAGUUUCCCAGGCUGGCCUUGAACUUGUGACCCUCCUGCCUCAGCCUCCCAGAUGCUGGGGUUGCAGGUGCGCCUGCUCCAUGUUUUGCUGCAAUGCCCAUGUGACUGUCUCCUGCCUGCCUGCCUGCCUGCCUGCCUGCCUGCCUUCCUGCCUGCCUGCCUUCCUUCCUUCCUUCCUUCCUUCCUUCCUUCCUUCCUUCCUUCCUUCCUUCCUUCCUUCCUUUCCUUCUGCCCGUUGCUUUGGAAGUACCUUAUGUACUUGGAGUUCUUGUAGAUUGGGUCCAAGUUGAUUUGCUUCUCCUUACUUCCAUCUGGUUCUUCUAAAACGGUGUACCGAGGGUCUCCCGCUGCUCCUGCUGUGUGAACAGCUGCACAAGGUGGCCAUGAGGUGUAGAUGCUACAGCCACCCCUCCCACGCUCCCUGGCCCUUCUUGGUAUUCCUGCUUGUUUACUCCUCAAAACUGAACUUCUCAAAUCAGUCUCUUUACUUCUAGGAAAAAGGCUUAUCUUAUUUUCAUUGAAAUGACAUUACGCUUAUAAAUGAAAUUACGAAAAUAGGACAUCUUUAUGAUGCUGCAUUUUUUUCACCCAAGAGGAUUGUCAUAUGGUUUAAUCCCUAGAAACUCCCCUCUCAAACAAUGGCAAAACCACCAGAAACAUGAAGAAAAUUUGAGGAAAUAGCAUGUGAAGUGGCAAAGAAAAAAUUCAAUAAAUAUCACAUACACUAGAAAUGAGUUCAACAAUAUAAGAGAAGAUAAAACCAUAUCCUCCUGUGUGUUAUUGGUAGGAGAGUGAGACACUGUGUUAGGAAAAAGCACAAUUGCAGAACUGAGAUCAGUGUUCUCUGCUCCUCUGCACCCACC